Molecule: ribosomal RNA, 366 nt
Filed under: Tricommatinae sp. MZSP 73200
Lineage: Eukaryota; Metazoa; Arthropoda; Arachnida; Opiliones; Gonyleptidae
Description: partial small subunit ribosomal RNA
Source: RNAcentral
GGUAGAUACCCUGGUAUAGAAAAUAUAAUAGUUAAAUUAGUAUAUAAGAAAAUUAAAGGUUUUGGUGGCUAAAAAUUAUUAGAGGAGCUUGUUAAUUAGAAAUUAUUCUUUAUAUUUUAUUUAAUAAAUGUUUAUUCAUCUCCGUUAUAAAAUGGAAGUUAAAAAAAAAUUAUUUUGAAAUUUCAGGUCAAGAUGUAGCUAAGUUUAAAAUGAAAUUAGCUACAUUUAUAAAAUAUUUGGAUUUUAUAAAGAAUUUAAUAUUGAAAUUGAAUUUAAUUGUAAUUAGAAUUAGAGGGUUCUGAUGAAUUUAUUAAUAGUAUAUAUAUGCCUCGUCGAGUCCCUAAAAAGGAAUAAGUCGUAACAUAU